UAGGGAAUCUUCGGCAAUGGGGGGAACCCUGACCGAGCAACCCCGCGUGAGUGAAGAAGGUUUUCGGAUCGUAAAGCUCUGUUGUUAAGGAAGAACGAGUGUGAGAAUGGAAAGUUCAUACUGUGACGGUACUUAACCAGAAAGGGACGGCUAACUACGUGCCAGCAGCCGCGGUAAUACGUAGGUCCCGAGCGUUGUCCGGAUUUAUUGGGCGUAAAGCGAGCGCAGGCGGUUAGAAAAGUCUGAAGUGAAAGGCAGUGGCUCAACCAUUGUAGGCUUUGGAAACUGUUUAACUUGAGUGCAGAAGGGGAGAGUGGAAUUCCAUGUGUAGCGGUGAAAUGCGUAGAUAUAUGGAGGAACACCGGUGGCGAAAGCGGCUCUCUGGUCUGUAACUGACGCUGAGGCUCGAAAGCGUGGGGAGCGAACAGG
This 429-nucleotide ribosomal RNA is filed under the name Bacteroidota bacterium. Its description in RNAcentral is "Bacteroidetes bacterium partial 16S ribosomal RNA". It matches the Rfam family "Bacterial small subunit ribosomal RNA", at positions 355 to 776 of the family's 1533-position model. The record is from RNAcentral. Lineage: Bacteria; Pseudomonadati; Bacteroidota.